UGAUGGAGCAACGCCGCCUGAGUGAAGAAGGGUUUCGGCUUGUAAAACUCUGUUGUUAAAGAAGAACAUAUCUGAGAGUAACUGUUCAGGUAUUGACGGUAUUUAACCAGAAAGCCACGGCUAACUACGUGCCAGCAGCCGCGGUAAUACGUAGGUGGCAAGCGUUGUCCGGAUUUAUUGGGCGUAAAGCGAGCGCAGGCGGUUUUUUAAGUCUGAUGUGAAAGCCUUCGGCUCAACCGAAGAAGUGCAUCGGAAACUGGGAAACUUGAGUGCAGAAGAGGACAGUGGAACUCCAUGUGUAGCGGUGAAAUGCGUAGAUAUAUGGAAGAACACCAGUGGCGAAGGCGGCUGUCUGGUCUGUAACUGACGCUGAGGCUCGAAAGUAUGGGUAGCAAACAGGAUUAGAUACCCUGGUAGUCCAUACCGUAAACGAUGAAUGCUAAGUGUUGGAGGGUUUCCGCCCUUCAGUGCUGCAGCUAACGCAUUAAGCAUUCCGCCUGGGGAGUACGGCCGCAAGGCUGAAACUCAAAGGAAUUGACGGGGGCCCGCACAAGCGGUGGAGCAUGUGGUUUAAUUCGAAGCUACGCGAAGAACCUUACCAGGUCUUGACAUACUAUGCAAAUCUAAGAGAUUAGACGUUCCCUUCGGGGACAUGGAUACAGGUGGUGCAUGGUUGUCGUCAGCUCGUGUCGUGAGAUGUUGGGUUAAGUCCCGCAACGAGCGCAACCCUUAUUAUCAGUUGCCAGCAUUAAGUUGGGCACUCUGGUGAGACUGCCGGUGACAAACCGGAGGAAGGUGGGGAUGACGUCAAAUCAUCAUGCCCCUUAUGACCUGGGCUACACACGUGCUACAAUGGAUGGUACAACGAGUUGCGAACUCGCGAGAGUAAGCUAAUCUCUUAAAGCCAUUCUCAGUUCGGAUUGUAGGCUGC
Molecule: ribosomal RNA, 931 nt
Filed under: Lactiplantibacillus plantarum
Lineage: Bacteria; Bacillati; Bacillota; Bacilli; Lactobacillales; Lactobacillaceae
Also listed under: 1 other name
Description: partial 16S ribosomal RNA
Rfam family: Bacterial small subunit ribosomal RNA
Source: RNAcentral